GGAUUCGGGGCCGUAACACUGUCUGAGAGGUUUACAUUUCUCACAGUGAACCGGUCUCUUUUUCAGCUGCU
This is a microRNA precursor of Lepidothrix coronata (blue-crowned manakin), 71 nucleotides long. Ensembl annotates it as microRNA 128-1. The record is from Ensembl. NCBI's taxonomy places the organism in Eukaryota, Metazoa, Chordata, Aves, Passeriformes, Pipridae.